Molecule: ribosomal RNA, 244 nt
Filed under: uncultured bacterium
Lineage: Bacteria
Description: partial 16S ribosomal RNA
Rfam family: Bacterial small subunit ribosomal RNA
Source: RNAcentral
UAUGGCGACCGGCGCACGGGUGAGUAACACGUAUCCAACCUGCCGAUGACUCGGGGAUAGCCUUUCGAAAGAAAGAUUAAUACCCGAUGGCAUAGUUCUUCCGCAUGGUAGAACUAUUAAAGAAUUUCGGUCAUCGAUGGGGAUGCGUUCCAUUAGGUUGUUGGCGGGGUAACGGCCCACCAGCUUCGAUGGAUAGGGGUUCUGAGAGGAAGGUCCCCCACAUUGGAACUGAGACACGGUCCAA